GUCCAAGGCCAUAACACCCUGAACAUGCCCGAUCUCGACAGAUCUUGGAAGUUAAGCAGGGUUGGGCAUGGUUAGUACUUGGAUGGGAUACUCUAUGAGUUUUAAUAU
This 108-nucleotide ribosomal RNA is filed under the name Cricetulus griseus (Chinese hamster). The record is from RNAcentral. Lineage: Eukaryota; Metazoa; Chordata; Mammalia; Rodentia; Cricetidae.